This 353-nucleotide unclassified non-coding RNA is filed under the name soil metagenome. RNAcentral describes it as "partial contains 5.8S ribosomal RNA, internal transcribed spacer 2, and large subunit ribosomal RNA". The stretch from base 1 to 121 matches the Rfam family "5.8S ribosomal RNA", at positions 35 to 154 of the family's 154-position model. The record is from RNAcentral.
GAUGAAGAACGUAGCGAAAUGCGAUAAGUAAUGCGAAUUGCAGAAUUUCCGUGAGUCAUCGAAUCUUUGAACGCACAUGGCGCCUUCCAGUAUCCUGGGAGGCAUGCCUGUCCGAGCGUCGUUUCAACCCUCGAGCCCCCGUGGCCCGGCGUUGGGGAUCUGCCACGGCAGGCCCCUAAAACCAGUGGCGGACCCGAAGGCCCUCUCCUUUGCGCAGUAGCAUCAGCCUCGCAUUGGGAUCCCUCGGCGUCCUGCCUCUAAACCCCCCACAAGUCCGCUCCGGCGGCACCAAGGUUGACCUCGGAUCAGGUAGGAAUACCCGCUGAACUUAAGCAUAUCAAUAAGGCGGAGGA